This 242-nucleotide unclassified non-coding RNA is filed under the name Hevea brasiliensis (rubber tree). The record is from RNAcentral. Lineage: Eukaryota; Viridiplantae; Streptophyta; Magnoliopsida; Malpighiales; Euphorbiaceae.
UAGACGCUUAGGUGCUGAAAGCCGUAGACCGUCUGGUAGAGCUAAGCGAAAGCUCAAUCCUUUGCUGUCUUUCCUUCUUUAGCUUUGAAUUUCCCACUCCUUAUUGGUUUUGCUUUUCUUUUUCAUUUGCUUUUUCUGUUUUAUUUUUUGGGCUUGGAAGUGGUGGGGCGUUGGUGGGGCGAGGAUUUUGAUUUUGACUUCUCCUGGACUUUCUCGGGAAAAUUUUUGAUGGGGAGAAUGGC